This 280-nucleotide ribosomal RNA is filed under the name Shigella sp. FC1967. RNAcentral's name for it is "partial 23S ribosomal RNA". It matches the Rfam family "Bacterial large subunit ribosomal RNA", at positions 411 to 691 of the family's 2925-position model. Lineage: Bacteria; Pseudomonadati; Pseudomonadota; Gammaproteobacteria; Enterobacterales; Enterobacteriaceae. The record is from RNAcentral.
AGUAGGGCGGGACACGUGUUAUCCUGUCUGAAUAUGGGGGGACCAUCCUCCAAGGCUAAAUACUCCUGAUUGACCGAUAGUGAACCAGUACCGUGAGGGGAAAGGCGAAAAAGAACCCCGGCGAGGGGAGUGAAAAAAGAACCUGAAACCGUGUACGUACAAGCAGUAGGAGCCUCUUUAUGGGGUGACUGCGUACCUUUUGUAUAAUGGGUCAGCGACUUAUAUUCUGUAGCAAGGUUAACCGUAUAGGGGAGCCGUAGGGAAACCGAGUCUUAACUGG